This is an RNA transcript of Phragmites australis (common reed), 1752 nucleotides long. It is a transcript of the gene named glycine-rich RNA-binding protein RZ1A-like, with no coding region annotated. NCBI's taxonomy places the organism in Eukaryota, Viridiplantae, Streptophyta, Magnoliopsida, Poales, Poaceae. The transcript has 5 exons. The record is from RefSeq and is a predicted model, not a curated record.
AAACCAAGCGUUGCGAUUGGCUGGAGUCUUGAUCAAUUAGGCGCUAAUUGCGAGCGUACGUUAAGAAGCCUUCUUCGUCGUCCUGUCUCAAACCUCACAGACACACAGUUCCAAAAAGGAACAAGGGGACUAGAGACAUUCCAGACGCCGACGCAGCAGACCGAGUUGCCAAAUGUCGGAUGCGGGUGAGUACUGUUGCUUCGUUGGGAGCCUUUCCUGGUCCACUACUGAAGUAGGUCUCAAAGAUGCCUUUGGGAAAUUUGGCCGUCUGACUGAGGCAAAGGUGGUUCUUGACAAGUUAUCCGGCCGAUCACGUGGCUUUGGCUUUGUGACUUUUGAUGACAAGAAGGCCAUGAAAGAAGCAAUUGAGGCGAUGAAUGGUAUGGAUCUGGAUGGAAGGAAUAUCACUGUUGAAAGAGCCCAGCCUCAAAGUUCAGGCAGGGACCAUGAUGGGGAUCGAGAUUAUAGUCGUGGUGGCAGUGAUCGUGACCGCUACCGUGGUGACUAUGGCCGUGGUCGUGACCGUGGUCGUGAUUUUGGUGGAGGUCGUGGUGGCGGCGGCGAUUGCUUCAAAUGUGGCAAGCCUGGCCAUUUUGCGAGGGAAUGCCCUUCUGAUGAUGGUGGCAGAGGGGACAGGUACGGUAGCAGGGGUGACAGGUAUGGUGGCAGCAGUGCAAGCAGCCGCUAUGGUCCUGAUCGUGGUGGUGAUCGCUAUUCUGGGAGCCGUGAUGGAGGAAGCCGCAAUGGUGGAGGCAGUGAUCGAUACAACCGUGACAAGUCUGGUCCUUAUGAACGUCCCAGCCGAGAUGGAUACAGAUCUUGAUGGUGGGAGGCUGUCUCUCAGUCUUGAUACCAAGGAUGUUGGAGAACAUUGAUGGUUUGUUAUUUAGUCUGAUUGCGAUCUUGAGGGAGGAAGCAGCAUGCUGUGUUGGGGUAACCAUCUGCUUGAAAUAUUCCUUCACAAACUGUAAAAAGGAAAAGAAAAACGGGCAUUUGGCCUUUGUGUUCCUAUUGGUCUGCAUGGCUUAGUGCUAGUAUUUUGCUGUUUGACCGUGGUUCUGACUUCUGAGUGCUCAGUAGUACUGUUCUGCGGCGUUGAUAUGUUUAUGUGCUCUAUUAAGCGAGUGUAAGAUCUCCAAACCUUUCUAUUCAUUGACUAAAGUGGACCUAUCCUGCUUUGAAGUGCCCUUUGUUGAGUUCUGCCACUCGUGCUCCUGUCGGGAUAUCCAAGUUGAGAAGUUUCAAUUCACCAUGUCAUCUAUAUUUCUUCGGUUGCUGGCAAGCAUCAUAUACUUAACUUUGUUCAACAUCUGUGCCUUGGGACUCCUACAAUUCCAUAACGCUACCUUGAGAACCUGGAGCAGGUGCUGUUUUUUUGGGGGGCUCAUUUGUGCCGUAAUCCAAGUGUGCAUACCUUUUUUUAUUGUAGAAAAUGACCUUUGUAGCUGGAGGUUUAUGAAGAGGGAAGUAAUUCUUUGGCAGAAAAGGAGUUCACAGUUAGGGGAAAUUUUGCCUUUUGUGUAUAGUUGCACAUUGAGGGUUGCGGAACAUAUAGAUUGUUGUUGUAUUCAGCCGUGCUAUUUUGUCAAUGGAAUAUUGGUAGAUAUUGCCUUGAUGUUAGAUGUGAAAAGGGGUUGUGCACAAAAUUCUCGUCCUUUUGUUUUGUUUCUGUACAUACUCCUUAUUUUAGUUUGUUGAAGUUAAUUUAUUUGGCGAAAAAAAUUCAUUGAAGAUGUGUCCUGAAUCGGAUCA